GACGAACGCUGGCGGCGUGCUUAACACAUGCAAGUCGAACGGAAAGGCCCUGCUUUUGUGGGGUGCUCGAGUGGCGAACGGGUGAGUAACACGUGAGUAACCUGCCCUUGACUUUGGGAUAACUUCAGGAAACUGGGGCUAAUACCGGAUAGGAGCUCCUGCUGCAUGGUGGGGGUUGGAAAGUUUCGGCGGUUGGGGAUGGACUCGCGGCUUAUCAGCUUGUUGGUGGGGUAGUGGCCUACCAAGGCUUUGACGGGUAGCCGGCCUGAGAGGGUGACCGGCCACAUUGGGACUGAGAUACGGCCCAGACUCCUACGGGAGGCAGCAGUGGGGAAUAUUGCACAAUGGGCGGAAGCCUGAUGCAGCAACGCCGCGUGCGGGAUGACGGCCUUCGGGUUGUAAACCGCUUUCGCCUGUGACGAAGCGUGAGUGACGGUAAUGGGUAAAGAAGCACCGGCUAAUUACGUG
This 468-nucleotide ribosomal RNA is filed under the name uncultured bacterium. Its description in RNAcentral is "partial 16S ribosomal RNA". It matches the Rfam family "Bacterial small subunit ribosomal RNA", at positions 28 to 507 of the family's 1533-position model. The record is from RNAcentral.